Molecule: transfer RNA, 67 nt
Filed under: Marmota monax (woodchuck)
Lineage: Eukaryota; Metazoa; Chordata; Mammalia; Rodentia; Sciuridae
Description: tRNA.Gly
Source: RNAcentral
GGUUGUGGCUCAGUGGUAGAGCGCCUGCCUACCAUGUGCAGGGCCCUGGGUUGGAUCCUCAGCACCA